GGAUAGAUGACCCGUUUGCGCCUCAAGAAGUCAUAGGCAGGACCAAAUGUAUGAUGGAGCGCACGACCAAAACCUAUCCACAUAAAAUUCAUGCAUUCUUUCUUCACUUUUUUGUAUUUAUAUGUUCUGUACUGUUGAGUUAACUCAGUUGCAGCUAUAACAAGUGAGCUCUAUAUUCAAUUCAGCUAACAGUUUUUGUUCCUACUAUUAAAACAUAUAUUGCUUUUUAAGAGAAACAUACCUAAUGUUUUAUUUGAUUAACCUUGUAUGUAUAGCAAAUUUAUUCUAAUUUGUUUUUCUUAAGUGUUGAAGACUUCCAUAAGGGCGCAACUACAGAAUCAUCCGGACACACCGUAAAAUGGAUAGAUGACCCGUUUGCGCCUCAAGAAGUCAUAGGCAGGACCAAAUGUGAUGUAAUUACUUUCAAUAGUGCUUCAGCUCUGCAAUCGACAGUUUGACCUCAUGCUAGGGCAGCCUCAGCCAGUUGCCUCUUCUAUCAAAGUGCUGAUGGAAGACAUCCUGAGUCCUUAUUGCAUGCUAGAGAACAACAACUAUCUUGUUGGUGAUUCCCCUGAUAUUUGGUUCUACAAGUGUGGCAUAUGGACCAAUGAAAGCAAAGA
Molecule: long non-coding RNA, 620 nt
Organism: Triticum dicoccoides
Lineage: Eukaryota; Viridiplantae; Streptophyta; Magnoliopsida; Poales; Poaceae
Exons: 3
Source: RefSeq, a predicted model, not a curated record